Peromyscus eremicus (cactus mouse) is the source of this 2132-nucleotide long non-coding RNA. RefSeq lists it as uncharacterized. The transcript has 2 exons. NCBI's taxonomy places the organism in Eukaryota, Metazoa, Chordata, Mammalia, Rodentia, Cricetidae. The record is from RefSeq and is a predicted model, not a curated record.
AUUUCCUGAAGGACGCGCUAUUCGACACACGGGCUUCCUUGCCGGGUAGUUUUUGGUGAGGAGCCUGCGCCGCUUCUUCCGUCCGGCUCUUCCUCGGGCGCCAGGUCUAUGCAAGCCCUGUCGCUCUUCCCCGGAGGACAGCGGGAGAGAGCCCUGUCCUCAACCCCGUGCCGUCCCCUGAAGAGCAGGAAGCCGUGGCUCCUCCACCCCGUUGUGGCUUCGGGCGUCGUUUUCCCCAAAUUGGUGGUGUUCCGGUGAAACACUGAGGAACCGCGAAUCCCAGGCGUGGGAGGAACGAAAAGAUGAGUCGGUCUCUGAAGCGUCGGCUCAGGAUCAGAUCCAGCUCCUACCAUGACAAGCGGAUACCAUUUGAAAUGUUUGGCCAACCACCUCCUUAUUCCUGUCAAGGGAAGGCCACAGAUUAUUGAACUGUCUAAUCAUCCCUUCCUCAAGUCCUUACAGGCACCAUAGCAGACAACUAGAGACACUCAGAGUCAUCUAUCAUGCCCACGGCCUGCACCACCCUUGACUGAACCAGCACACAGGUUUCCAACCUGGGGACUUGGUGUGGGUAUGCCACUUACCCGGCAAGACUCUGGGACCUUCCUAGAAGGGACGGUAUCCUGGGAUCCUGACACUGCCGGGGGCCGUCAAGGUAAUGAGGACUGCAGCUUGGAUCCACACUCCCAUCUAAAGGUGGACACAACCAGCCACGAGAAAGGUGACAAAUGGAAGGUAAUACAAAGUCCAGGUGUCCUCUAAGGGUGCGGCUCAUCUCACCUUGAACUCAGACUGACACUAACGUUGGGGAUCUUGGUAGGUCACUCCCAUAUGUGGCCAACUAAAAGUGUUGAAGUCUGGGAUUGGGAACUGUCUCCAACUGCAGAUAGGAAAGUAAGAGGCGUUUUCCGGAAUGCCACCUCCCAACCUGUGUUUAGAUUCGACCUGUGCGAUGUCUUGGAUAACAGUGAACUUAUGGGCGAAUGAAUGGGAAAGUUAUAGUGCAGUUCACCCAGGGUGGGGGACCAAAAUGCCAGAAACAUCCUUCUGGUCUUCACCAUUGUAUGCAUGCCCAGCCCACGUUUUAUUGUCAUAAAUUUAUGUCAUAAUUUUAUUUAUUCAUUCAUUCAUUCAUUCAUUCAUUUAUUUAUUGUCAUACGUGGAAAAGAGAUUAUCAUUGCUCUACCCCAGGCUGUGAGACUGAGUCUGACCAUGGCGGACAUGAAGACCAGUUUAUCUCCAGUCAACAGGUAUAUCCUCCUCAGGAUUUGCAGACCCAGGACCUGCAACCCCUUCACUUUAAAGAUCAUGACCUGGAAUGAAUUGAGCUCAAAAUACUGGCUUCCAGGCCGGACCUGGGGAUUUGUGCUUAAAUUUAAGAAAACUAAGAAACAGCCCUGGUAUAGAAUUCACUCUACGGAAAAGGGUACCAUCCCACCUAGCCAAUCCUGUAGGUCCUGGAAGGACCUGGCUGCCUCUACCAGGGACUGGUUGUCUCCUUUCUCUGUCCUCCCUUCUUAGGCCACUCCACCCAUGGUAGUAAAUGAAUCCACAAUCACAAUCAAGGGGCUACAGUAACAGACUCAGUCUCAACCCUGCUGCAGAAUGGACUUCAAGUUUUAUCCCCUGAUGAUGCCCCUGAGCUCAAGACCUUGAAGUUACUGCAUAAGUGGAUAAAUUAUACACACCCCAGCCUGGGAAGAGAUUGUUAGCUUUGUCUAGGUCCCAGGCCUCCUUUUUAUAUGGGUGUAGGGGUCAGUCAGUCUCUCUAUUAUCUCAACUACUACUCUACCAGAGAAUUUAAAUUGUAAACAGAAAGGAGCUAAACUCAUCCUGGGAGAUUCCUAAGUACCCAGUGAAUCUCUUCCACGUAGAAUUACCCAGCUUCCCUUUAUAGCCAAGCCUGUCAUACUCUACUGUACGCCAGCUGGUCAGAACUUAUUAGAAUGUACUUCCCAUCCCCUUUAAGAACAUAGUGGGCCUGUACAUUCGAGCUACAAAUCCGCAGAAAAAUUAAGUAAUUGCCUUUUAAAAACCCUUCCUUCAAUCCGUUUUGGGUGGUAUGCCUUCGAUUUGGCUUUAAGGCUGUCAACCUGCUAGCAAUUUAAAUAAACUGAUGUAAUUAUACUCUG